RNAcentral lists this ribosomal RNA (838 nucleotides) under Campylobacter jejuni. RNAcentral's name for it is "partial 23S ribosomal RNA". It matches the Rfam family "Bacterial large subunit ribosomal RNA", at positions 1793 to 2630 of the family's 2925-position model. Lineage: Bacteria; Pseudomonadati; Campylobacterota; Epsilonproteobacteria; Campylobacterales; Campylobacteraceae. The record is from RNAcentral.
CUCCCGACUGUUUACCAAAAACACAGCACUCUGCUAACUCGUAAGAGGAUGUAUAGGGUGUGACGCCUGCCCGGUGCUCGAAGGUUAAUUGAUGGGGUUAGCAUUAGCGAAGCUCUUGAUCGAAGCCCGAGUAAACGGCGGCCGUAACUAUAACGGUCCUAAGGUAGCGAAAUUCCUUGUCGGUUAAAUACCGACCUGCAUGAAUGGCGUAACGAGAUGGGAGCUGUCUCAAAGAGGGAUCCAGUGAAAUUGUAGUGGAGGUGAAAAUUCCUCCUACCCGCGGCAAGACGGAAAGACCCCGUGGACCUUUACUACAGCUUGACACUGCUACUUGGAUAAGAAUGUGCAGGAUAGGUGGGAGGCUUUGAGUAUAUGACGCCAGUUGUAUAUGAGCCAUUGUUGAGAUACCACUCUUUCUUAUUUGGGUAGCUAACCGGCUUGAGUUAUCCUCAAGUGGGACAAUGUCUGGUGGGUAGUUUGACUGGGGCGGUCGCCUCCCAAAUAAUAACGGAGGCUUACAAAGGUUGGCUCAGAACGGUUGGAAAUCGUUCGUAGAGUAUAAAGGUAUAAGCCAGCUUAACUGCAAGACAUACAAGUCAAGCAGAGACGAAAGUCGGUCUUAGUGAUCCGGUGGUUCUGUGUGGAAGGGCCAUCGCUCAAAGGAUAAAAGGUACCCCGGGGAUAACAGGCUGAUCUCCCCCAAGAGCUCACAUCGACGGGGAGGUUUGGCACCUCGAUGUCGGCUCAUCGCAUCCUGGGGCUGGAGCAGGUCCCAAGGGUAUGGCUGUUCGCCAUUUAAAGCGGUACGCGAGCUGGGUUCAGAACGUCGUGAGACAGU